AGGAGGAACAGCCCCAGUGGCGGGUCAGCUCUGGAAACCUGGAUUCAGCUCCGGCAGGAACUCCGUCUGCAGGGCCUGGAGGCUCCGGGGCGGG
Non-coding RNA from Canis lupus familiaris (dog), 94 nucleotides. Lineage: Eukaryota; Metazoa; Chordata; Mammalia; Carnivora; Canidae. The record is from Rfam.